AAAAAAAAAAAAAAAGGAGGGAUGAGGCAUUUUCCAAUGAUUGGGUCAAAUAAUAUAGAUGGAUUUACAUGAUGGUCCCAUUAAUCUUACAAUUUCAGUUACAUUGUCCUUAAAUUGACUUGGUAAAGCCUAUUUUCUUGCUUCUACUCAAUAUCUUUUACAGCAUCCUUAGCAAGCCUUGUCACAUAUGCUGCCGCUAUAGCUGUGGCCAACAAUCCCAGCCCAAGAGUCAACAGUGAAUUGUUCCCACCGGUUAAUCCAAUAUCAUCUUCUUGGAUUAUUGCACGGCCAAAUGCGCCAGC
RNAcentral lists this unclassified non-coding RNA (302 nucleotides) under Hevea brasiliensis (rubber tree). Lineage: Eukaryota; Viridiplantae; Streptophyta; Magnoliopsida; Malpighiales; Euphorbiaceae. The record is from RNAcentral.